Molecule: long non-coding RNA, 582 nt
Filed under: Elaeis guineensis (African oil palm)
Lineage: Eukaryota; Viridiplantae; Streptophyta; Magnoliopsida; Arecales; Arecaceae
Description: long non-coding RNA (EGUI_LNC047480)
Source: RNAcentral
CCUUGUUUACUUGAUUUUACUCCUCAUUAAAAUUCUUCCAAGGUGUGUCUAGUCUAGAGUGCCUUUACAAAUCUCUUGAGUAGUGGUUCUUCUGAGAAACACUUGGAACAAGUGAGCAUAUUGAAUUUAAAGCUACAUAUCCUCUAAAACAAUGUUAGUAGUUUAACAAUUUAUACUUAAAUGCUUUUGUUAUCAUCAAAAUCAAUUCUGGGGUGAACAAUCCCUCUCUUUUUGAUGAUGAUAAAAUUCUUUGAGUAUACCUUUCUCUCAAAUUUUAUUUUCAACUAUUGCAUGCAUGUCAUUCAAUUUUAGUCAAAUUUCAUGAACUCCCCCUAAGUAUGAUACUUAUGUUCAAUUUGAUUUCAAGUUUGUAUUACUCCCCCUUACUAUGUGCCAAUGCAUCUCUAGGAUUUUGAAUUGCUUCCAAAUUGCUUUGUUUCAAACUACUUUAUUAUGUGCCAAUCAAUUAUUGCUUGUCAUAGUUUUUCAAAAUUGGCAUUUUAAUCAAUUAAUACUUCAAACUUCGACAUAUACUCAAACUUUUCUCCCUCUUUUUGUCAUUAUCAAAAUGGAAAUAAUUUG